GCUCGUCCAAAAAUCCCCAUCACGAUCUGAAAAUCCCCAUUGCCGUGAGGCUCCACCUAACCCACCUCCAUCCCCUGGCUUCGGCGCGCCUCCCGCCGACGGCCCUCCCAGCCCCAACGCGCCUCACGUCAUCGUCGCCCCGGCACCGGCCCCGGCAUGCCUCCCACCACCGGCGCCCAUCCCCCGACGUGCCUCUCGCCGCCGUCGCCCCGGCCCUGACGCACCUCUCUCCAUUCCCAGAUCGCCUCCCACUCCGCCCUCCAUCCCCAGCACGCCCCCACCAUCGGACCUCGGCUGGCGACCGCAUCCCCGGGCUCGGCUGCACGUGACCGGGAUACCUCGCUGGUGCACGCCACCUCCCUCCUCCUAAGGUUGGGAGCGGUGUGAACUUUGAACGGAUCAGUGGUUGGACCAUCAGCAGUUAACUGCACCAACGCGACUGACGCCACCUCGCACGCCUUCGUCUUCGUCGACGGCGGUCAGCACCUCCAACGCAAAUCGAUUCAGCGCCGUCUGUGCAUGGCUCGGCUCCUGCGCUCUGCUGCUGCCACGGGACCCAGUGCACCUCCCGUCCUCUGCUUUUCUCCGUGCGGAACUGUCUGUCUCGUGUCGCUGCUUGCACCUGCUACUGCUGGGAAUACGCUGUCCCGCGACGCCCUGUACUCAAUCUGUACCCGUGCUCUCUCUGUCUCACGAACCAUCCCUACGGCCGCAAAGCUUCUCUUAGACCGGCCGCCAUGCAUCAAACUGAACUGCUGAGUUCAUUCCCCCAAAGUCCUGCAGAGCUUAUAGUAAAGAGGCGUACCCCGAUCUCCUCCGUUACUUAACAAUAUGGUGUGCUUUCUGAUGGAA
Aegilops tauschii subsp. strangulata is the source of this 852-nucleotide long non-coding RNA. RefSeq lists it as uncharacterized. Lineage: Eukaryota; Viridiplantae; Streptophyta; Magnoliopsida; Poales; Poaceae. The record is from RefSeq and is a predicted model, not a curated record.